UUCCAGGAGAUCCAGUACUGUUUUUUGGUC
This 30-nucleotide non-coding RNA is filed under the name Mus musculus (house mouse). RNAcentral also lists the same sequence under 1 other name. Lineage: Eukaryota; Metazoa; Chordata; Mammalia; Rodentia; Muridae. The record is from RNAcentral.